Molecule: long non-coding RNA, 505 nt
Organism: Dendrobium catenatum
Lineage: Eukaryota; Viridiplantae; Streptophyta; Magnoliopsida; Asparagales; Orchidaceae
Exons: 3
Source: RefSeq, a predicted model, not a curated record
UUAAUAAGGCUUCAAAUUGCUAGACAAUUGUACAUCUUUUAUUUGGUGUAAAUUACUAAAAUGUUGUAGCAACGCAGAACAUCAAGCAAGUUCUUUCCAGAUUUGGAAGCAACAUAAUAUUCUCUAAUGGAAUGAAAGACCCAUGGAGCAGAGGAGGGGUACUUGAGAACCUGUCAUCAUCCAUUGUUGCUCUUGUCACGGCAAAAGGUGCUCAUCAUGUAGAUUUCAGAUCUGCUACAGAAGAAGAUCCAACUUGGCUUAUAGAACAAAGGACGCUAGAAGUGGAAAUAAUUAGAAGUUGGAUAGAUAAGUACAGAGAAGACGAAAUGAUAUGAAGAAAUAACUGCAAACAAUUUGAUGACCGGGGGAUGUAUUGUAAAACAAUAAGUCCCCACAAGGUGGCUCAUUACAUUCAUCACAAUUCCAAUAAUUUGUAAUUUGUUACCAAGUCAAUUAUUUUUAUCUUCAAUAUUAUGCUCAAAGAGUUUAUUCUCUUUCUAUGCCA